CCCUUAGAUGUUCUGGGCCGCACGCGCGCUACACUGAAGGGAUCAGCGUGUUUUCCCUUCCCGAGAGGGACGGGUAACCCGCUGAACCCCCUUCGUGGUAGGGAUCGGAGCUUGCAAUUGUUCUCCGCGAACCAGGAAUUCCCAGUAAGCGCAAGUCAUAAGCUUGCGUUGAUUACGUCCCUGCCCUUUGUACACACCGCCCGUCGCUACUACCGAUUGAACGUUUUAGUGAGGUAUUUGGACUGGGCCUUGGGAGGUUUCGGCCUCCCUUGUUGCUCGGAAAGACUCCCAAACUUGAGCGUUUAGAGGAAGUAAAAGUCGUAACA
This 326-nucleotide ribosomal RNA is filed under the name uncultured eukaryote. RNAcentral's name for it is "partial 18S ribosomal RNA". It matches the Rfam family "Eukaryotic small subunit ribosomal RNA", at positions 1470 to 1796 of the family's 1831-position model. The record is from RNAcentral.